Non-coding RNA from Maylandia zebra (zebra mbuna), 205 nucleotides. The record is from RefSeq and is a predicted model, not a curated record. NCBI's taxonomy places the organism in Eukaryota, Metazoa, Chordata, Actinopteri, Cichliformes, Cichlidae.
CAGCGAUGAAAGAAUGAUCAGUCUCAAGGACCAAAGAAUAAAAGAGACAGACCGAGCCAAAGCAAAAGAGAAAAAGAAGAAAGACCCUUCGCAGCUGAAGGAGAGAGAAGUGACUAAGUACCCAUCGUGCCUCUUUUUUCAAUACAACACUCAGCUUGGCCCACCAUACCACAUUCUGGUUGACACAAACUUUAUAAACUUCUCC